UUUACAGAGCCUGUUUGACAUACUGGCCACCUCCAUUUCCAAGCUAGGUAACAAGUAUUAGUGGAGGUGGACAGAAUGCCAAAUUGGCUCUGCAAC
Gossypium arboreum is the source of this 96-nucleotide non-coding RNA. The record is from Rfam. Lineage: Eukaryota; Viridiplantae; Streptophyta; Magnoliopsida; Malvales; Malvaceae.